RNAcentral lists this transfer RNA (66 nucleotides) under Ixodes scapularis (black-legged tick). It matches the Rfam family "tRNA", at positions 9 to 63 of the family's 71-position model. From Rfam's summary of the family: Transfer RNA (tRNA) molecules are approximately 80 nucleotides in length. The record is from Rfam by way of RNAcentral. Lineage: Eukaryota; Metazoa; Arthropoda; Arachnida; Ixodida; Ixodidae.
AGCCGAGUGGUUAAGGCGAUGGACUAGAAAUCCACUGGGGUUUCCCCGCACAGGUUCGAAUCCUGU